GUUUGUCUUUUCUUUUAGGCUGUGCUUGUGCAUCCUGAUAAAAAUAUGGGAAGCCCAUUGGCGAGUGAGUCAUUUAAGAAGCUUCAAUGUGCAUAUGAGGUUCUUUCUGACUCUGUGAAGAAAAGAGACUAUGAUGAGCAAUUGAGAAAGGAGGAAUCGAAGACCAAAAGUAUCUGCCAGAGGUCCCAGUCCUAUGGGACUUCACAACAGGUUGUGCAUAAUUUUUGUACGAUUGAUGCUGGCAUUUUAUAGUUUAAUUUAUCCGUGUUCUCAUUGAGUCAUUCAUGAUAAAUGUUCAUUUGUUUCUAACUCAGAUGAGAUAUAUGGUAAUUAGAAAGGAAGCUAAUACUAUUAUACUAAUAAAGAUGGCAAUUUCUUUCUGAAUAGACUCUAUAGGAGGGAGAGAAAAUGAAGCAUCUUCUAGGCAUUAGUCAAUCUUAUUCUUGGGUUCAUUAUACUUUGAAGUUACGUCUAGACGGCAUUAUAAGAUUUGAAGCAUUUGCUAACAUAGAGUCUUUGGAGUUGUUUGGGUUCAGAGUUGCCGUAGUUUGUGGUUAUUGUAAUUUGUGGGAUUAUAUAAUAGUUUUGUGGAGUUAGAAUAGUUUGACUUUGGGGUGUAGGCUAUUUUAGUCUGACUAUAUAGUUUGUUUUUGUGGUGAAGAUUUAGUCAUUGGUGGUUGGUUCAUUGUACUGUAACUUGCCUGUUCAAGGCUCUUUGGCAUUGGCUUUCUUGAUGGAGCAAUAAAGGUGUUGUAGAAUUGCUCUUCAUCACAAUUCUCAGAGGAUAUGAUGUAUGUAUAUCUAAAAGGUAGGUGUAGGAAAUAUUUUUCAUGUAACAACCAACAGGAUGCCAUAUUUAUUAUUUAUUCACAAAGUUCAUUGUUGUUUCUAGUUUGUUGCCAUAUUUUUCAGUCAGGUUAUGGCAAGGAGGAAAUACCGCUGGCCCUGGGAGAUAUCACUAAACAAAUGACUGCAAUAGAAGAAAUGGUUGCAAGUGAGUACAAU
Molecule: long non-coding RNA, 1005 nt
Organism: Cucumis melo (muskmelon)
Lineage: Eukaryota; Viridiplantae; Streptophyta; Magnoliopsida; Cucurbitales; Cucurbitaceae
Exons: 3
Source: RefSeq, a predicted model, not a curated record